UUAAGUUCAGCGGGUAUCCCUACCUGAUCCGAGGUCAACCAUAAGAGUGUAGGUUCUGGCAGGGAACCGCCGGGCUCUAGAGCGAGAGGUGUACUACGCUUAGAGCCGGGCGGUACCGCCACUGGCUUUGGGGCCGGCCGCGGGGGCGUGGCCCAACACCAAGCAGAGCUUGAGGGUUGAAAUGACGCUCGAACAGGCAU
RNAcentral lists this unclassified non-coding RNA (200 nucleotides) under Oidiodendron sp. RNAcentral describes it as "partial internal transcribed spacer 2". Lineage: Eukaryota; Fungi; Ascomycota; Leotiomycetes; Myxotrichaceae. The record is from RNAcentral.